UCGAGGAUCAUUCGCAAUGGGCGAAAGCCUGACGAUGCGACGCCGUGUGAGCGAAGAAGGCCUUCGGGUUGUAAAGCUCUUUCGCUUGGGAACAAGAAAUAGUUAUAAACAAUAACUAAAUUUGAGGGUACCAGGUAAAGAAGCACCGGCUAACUCCGUGCCAGCAGCUGCGGUAAUACGGAGGGUGCAAGCAUUAAUCGGAUUUAUUGGGCGUAAAGGGCGCGUAGGCGGUUAUAUAAGUCAGAUGUGAAAUUCCGAGGCUCAACUUCGGAGCUGCAUUUGAAACUGCAUAACUAGAGGAUAGGCGGAGAAAAUGGAAUUCCACGUGUAGCGGUGAAAUGCGUAGAUAUGUGGAAGAACACCGGUGGCGAAGGCGGUUUUCUAGCUUAUUCCUGACGCUAAGGCGCGAAAGCAAGGGGAGCAAACAGGAUUAGAUACCCGUGUAGUCC
This 449-nucleotide ribosomal RNA is filed under the name uncultured bacterium. RNAcentral describes it as "bacterial SSU rRNA". It matches the Rfam family "Bacterial small subunit ribosomal RNA", at positions 355 to 796 of the family's 1533-position model. The record is from RNAcentral.